UUCCUCGCAACAGAUGAAACCCUAGUGAAAUCUCUUGAAUCUGUUCAAUAAUUGAACGCUAGUGAGUGUUUUUCAAUCUUCAAUCAUCGAACCCUAAUGAAUCGAUGAAACCAUAGUAAGGGUUUUUUAAUUUGUUUUUUCGAUUUUUAGGGUUUCUUUUGGUUUUCAAUUUUCAGGUGAGAGUAGUGGACCUUUCAUUUUCUCUGCAAAAUCUCGUCAGGAGAAAGCUAGGGUUUCAAAAAUCAAAUCAAUCCUUAGUUUAGAUUAGCUCAAGAUUUAGAAUCGUCCAUACAUGUUAUGUAAUGAGUUUGAUUUAGAGUUCAUCCUUGAAUCGGUGAAGAAAACAAUUAUGGAUUUUUUCUUAGGGUGUUUUCGUGUUAAAGAUGAGAACCAAAAUCAUCAUAUCAUCUCUGAUUCUUCCAACAAAGUCAGAAAUCGCCUUUACAUAUCGGAUUUUUUCAUUUUUGUUUUCUUAUUUUUUUGAGAUUGUGAGUAAAUUUUUUGUUUAAUUGCAGAAAAAUCCUUUGGUAUCUAGAAAUCGUCUAGCAGCGUUACUCUUAUCUGAAUCUCAAGAUAGAAUAGGUGUGGGUUGCAGCUGUAAUGAUGGAGGUGGAUUGGUAGUUUGUCCUAUUCUGUUAUGAAGAAGAUGAAGUGUUGAUUUGGGUUGCAAUGAAUUAUGUGGUAGAUGAGGAUGAUUAUGAGUUACUGCGGGAUAAUAAUGUGGGAUUUCACCGUCCUGCACCAUGCCAGGUGAUCCUUCUAUAGUUGGAAAAGAAACGGGCAAAGGAGAAUUCUAUAUGUGGUUCGAGUGAGGGUGUCCUAGUAACUUUCAAGCUGAGAGCACUUUUUUUUGGGAGUUGUUUUCUUUCAAUACUUGUCAGGAUGUGGUGCUUACAUCGCCUGCAAGCAAGAGAUGAUGCAGCCUAAUGGAGUGUUGUACAUACUAGUAUGUAUCUCAAAGACAGAUAUUUCAUUCAAGCAUGAAUUAGUGGAAUGGCCUGACUGAUGAGUUAGUUAAUCGCCUUUUCAUGGGUUCAUCUGGACUCAGUUUCCUUCAAAUUUGAUGAAUGCAUUAUUGCUUGGGGAUGCAAUACAUGAUCUUCCUGAAAAAGUCAGCCGAGAAGACACCUUCUUCAACUGCGUGGCAUGUUGUUUCAAUAGGGACCAUGUUUACUGCCUACUACAAACCAAGGAAGUAAUUAGGUGUGGAAGUGUUCGCGCGAAGUUGUAGCUGGGAUUAGGUAUACAGCUUUCUUAGUUACAGAAUAUGUUCAUGAUCUUUGUACUACACAGAAUUUGUAUUCCCUUAGGACAUAGGAAUGAACUUACAGUGAUAUAAGUGAGAAUGAACUGAACUUAGGAAGUUUCUAAGCAGAAAUUUUUUGGUACUUAGAAUUUGUUUUCUUUUUUUGAUACGA
Molecule: long non-coding RNA, 1418 nt
Organism: Papaver somniferum (opium poppy)
Lineage: Eukaryota; Viridiplantae; Streptophyta; Magnoliopsida; Ranunculales; Papaveraceae
Exons: 8
Source: RefSeq, a predicted model, not a curated record